Molecule: long non-coding RNA, 417 nt
Filed under: Fukomys damarensis (Damara mole-rat)
Lineage: Eukaryota; Metazoa; Chordata; Mammalia; Rodentia; Bathyergidae
Description: lncRNA (ENSFDAG00000032822.1)
Source: RNAcentral
AUUAGGCUGUCUUUAUAACUCUCAGCUCCUUCUUCCAGGACGCGAAUAAUUUGUGUUUCUUUUUUAGCUGUCAUAACAAUGGAAAGCUUUGCAAUCAGAUGGAUUGCAACAUGGUCUAUCCAAUUCAGCUUAACAAUUUUUCAAUCUUAUUUCAUUUCAUCUUCCAAGGAUCUGGAUGCUGACACAGCUAUAGAAGAGUAUGAAAGAUCACUAAAUGCUAUUGAAUAAAAACAUUUGCCCAGAAACAUGAAACUGACGUGAUGGGAUGCAGAAAGGAAAGAGCAUAGAAGUAAGAAAAUGAAUAGCAGGAAACUGGACCUAAAUUAAGAAAUGAAAGUUUGAAGUAGUGGUUGGGGGACUGACAUGAAGAGGGGCAAGAACUAUUAAUCGUGUGAAACAAUGGAAAAGCUGAAGAAC